GUCAGGAUGGCUGAGUGGUCUAAGGUGCCAGACUCAAGGGCUCCUGUCUUUCCAUUGCUUGGGUAUGCUGGUCUCUGAAUAGAGGAGUAGGUUCAAAUCCCACUCCUGACA
This 111-nucleotide transfer RNA is filed under the name Lepisosteus oculatus (spotted gar). It matches the Rfam family "tRNA". Rfam says of the family: Transfer RNA (tRNA) molecules are approximately 80 nucleotides in length. Their secondary structure includes four short double-helical elements and three loops (D, anti-codon, and T loops). Further hydrogen bonds mediate the characteristic L-shaped molecular structure. tRNAs have two regions of fundamental functional importance: the anti-codon, which is responsible for specific mRNA codon recognition, and the 3' end, to which the tRNAs corresponding amino acid is attached (by aminoacyl-tRNA synthetases). tRNAs cope with the degeneracy of the genetic code in two manners: having more than one tRNA (with a specific anti-codon) for a particular amino acid; and 'wobble' base-pairing, i.e. permitting non-standard base-pairing at the 3rd anti-codon position. The record is from Rfam by way of RNAcentral. Lineage: Eukaryota; Metazoa; Chordata; Actinopteri; Semionotiformes; Lepisosteidae.